UUCCAGACUCCUACGGGAGGCAGCAGUGGGGAAUAUUGCACAAUGGGCGCAAGCCUGAUGCAGCCAUGCCGCGUGUAUGAAGAAGGCCUUCGGGUUGUAAAGUACUUUCAGCGGGGAGGAAGGUGUUGAGGUUAAUAACCUCAGCAAUUGACGUUACCCGCAGAAGAAGCACCGGCUAACUCCGUGCCAGCAGCCGCGGUAAUACGGAGGAUGCGAGCGUUAUCCGGAUUUAUUGGGUUUAAAGGGUGCGCAGGCGCCCCGGCAGGCCGGCGGGCAAAUCGUGGGGCUCAACCCCGCCCAGCCGUCGGAACUGCCGGGCUAGAGUGGGCGAGAAGUGCGCGGAAUGCGUGGUGUAGCGGUGAAAUGCAUAGAUAUCACGCAGAACUCCGAUUGCGAAGGCAGCGCACCGGCGCCCUACUGACGCUCAGGCACGAAAGCGUGGGUAUCGAACAGGAUUAGAUACCCGCGUAC
This 471-nucleotide ribosomal RNA is filed under the name uncultured bacterium. RNAcentral's name for it is "bacterial SSU rRNA". It matches the Rfam family "Bacterial small subunit ribosomal RNA", at positions 329 to 793 of the family's 1533-position model. The record is from RNAcentral.